This 280-nucleotide long non-coding RNA is filed under the name Capsella rubella. RNAcentral describes it as "long non-coding RNA (CRUB_LNC002748)". The record is from RNAcentral. Lineage: Eukaryota; Viridiplantae; Streptophyta; Magnoliopsida; Brassicales; Brassicaceae.
GUGGUCGUGAAAAAAUGACGAAGCGAAGAUCGGAUUACCUUAAAGCUUGACUCUGCCCUUGAGAGAGAAGUGGCCUGGUGCGUACCAAGGUUCCGUGGAACAGAACCACUUGUGACUGAAUCGUGAUUCCGAAGGUUCAAGUGGAAACAGCACAACAACUUUAUACUAGAUUCGACUUUGGUGCUUAAUUACAAACUCUGCCUUUAGACUCCAUGAUUUUGCGAGAAGGUUAGAGAGUCGUCGUUGAACCCGACAGUUGCAGAGACUGUCUCAUCUCAUA